RNAcentral lists this small nuclear RNA (283 nucleotides) under Canis lupus dingo (dingo). RNAcentral describes it as "7SK RNA". It matches the Rfam family "7SK RNA". From Rfam's summary of the family: 7SK was discovered as an abundant small nuclear RNA in the mid-70s but a possible function has only recently been suggested. Two independent studies have found that 7SK RNA binds the CDK9/cyclin T complex (known as elongation factor P-TEFb). P-TEFb activates transcription by phosphorylating the C-terminal domain of RNA polymerase II. The record is from Rfam by way of RNAcentral. Lineage: Eukaryota; Metazoa; Chordata; Mammalia; Carnivora; Canidae.
AGUUGUGAGGGCGAUCUGGCUGUGACAUCUGUCACCCCAUUGAUCGCCAGGAUUGAUUCGGCUGAUCUGGCUGGCUAGGCGGGUGUCCCCUUCCUCCCUCACCGCUCCAUGUGCGUCCCUCCCGAAGCUGCGCGCUCGGUCGAAGAGGACGACCGUCCCCGAUAGAGGAGGACCGUUCUUCGGUCAAGGGUAUACGAGUAGCUGCGCUCCCCUCCUAGAACCUCCAAACAAGCUCUCAAGGUCCAUAAUGGGAAAAGUAAAAUUUGCCAACCCUCUUUCCAGG